GGGAGAGCUAGAGAGGAAGGGAUGUAGCUCUCCCCACUUAGAACCAAGCGUCUCCUGCACCAAUAAUGUGAGAACUCGGAAGAAAGCCUCAAUUUCUGCUCCUGUAAGAUGGUUUUCCAGUCUUCAGCACUUGGCUGUUUCCUGCAAUCUGUCAAUGUGCUUCUUACAAUCUGACACCCAGAAGACAGCACCAGAGGUGCUGAGGAUGGAACCCAGUGCCCGUGCACGCCAGGCUCUGCCACUGCCUUACAAACUCUGUCCAGCCAACCCAACAAUGAUGCUAUUUCUUUACAUCUGAGGAAGCCAGCAAUUAGCCUGAGUAGAUCCACGUAGAUGCUGCCAGUUCCUUGUUCAGGACAACAAGAAACUGGAAAGGAUCUCUAGGAGGCAUCUACAGCACACCAGAACCCUGGCAGCGGAACACCAUUUUCUUUUUCAACUGACCUCGUGGACACCAGGAAGUCUCACCCUUACAGAUAAAAGCUAAAG
This is a long non-coding RNA of Heterocephalus glaber (naked mole-rat), 489 nucleotides long. The record is from Ensembl. Lineage: Eukaryota; Metazoa; Chordata; Mammalia; Rodentia; Bathyergidae.